Molecule: transfer-messenger RNA, 357 nt
Filed under: Wenzhouxiangella sediminis
Lineage: Bacteria; Pseudomonadati; Pseudomonadota; Gammaproteobacteria; Chromatiales; Wenzhouxiangellaceae
Description: Standard tmRNA
Rfam family: transfer-messenger RNA
About the family: Bacterial tmRNA, also known as 10Sa RNA or SsrA, is named for its dual tRNA and mRNA-like properties. Its role is to liberate the mRNA from a stalled ribosome.
Source: RNAcentral
GGGGGCGUUCUGGCUUCGACGCGGAUUGGACGUACCCUGGGGCAUGCCGAGGUCUCAACUCACCUCGUAAAACAAGUUGAACCAAAGUUAGUUGCCAACGACGACAACUACGCACUGGCUGCCUAAAAACCAGCCUGCUCUCCGCCGGUUGAGCCUGCGCUUCCGACCGGAGAUCAUUUAGCAGGAUCGCGUCAUGUCGCGUCUCUGGGCAUGGCGUUAAAUCAAACAGGGACUGGUCGUUGCGUAUGCCCUGCCCCUCGGGCGGCGUAACGGCGAGAAAAAAUCGAGCGGGCUAAGCAUGUAGAACCAGGAUCAGAUGGUUCGCGGACGCGGGUUCGACUCCCGCCGCCUCCACCA